ACUGCACAGCCUUCAGGAUUUAGCUACAGACAUGGAACGUCCUUGAGAUUUUAUUAAACAGCUAACAUGAAACGUCCCUUCAAGUUAUAAUACUUUUAAUUGGAUUAGAUUUUGCAUCGUUUCCAGCUUUACUGAAAGAAGAAUAUGCAGCAUGCUAAAGGCAAUCUUGGUUUCCACUAUAUCACUGUGCAUCUGUAGAGCCCUGAAGAUGCAGUUCAUCUGCAAACACAGUGGCAAUUUCAGAGUAAUCGAGAGCCACCUUGUGGAGCUGGGAUUCAUGAAGGGGCUCUGAAUAACACUGCUGGGAACAGCUGUUCACGAUGAGGAAUCCAAACCUAACAGGAUGCUGGAGGCUGCUAAUCAAGUUAACUGAAAACAUUCCAUGUUGGCUAUAGAGGCUUAAAAAUGCUGAGUUCUACUUCCCUCUCCACGCUACCUGCCUGCAGCACCUCUUCAACUCAUAGCACUUUACUGCGACUGGAGCUGAUCUCCAAAGUGGGAGAAGCCCUGCAAAGUUCAACCCAGAUGGGCGAACCCAUCUGAUCAGCAUUUCCAUCUCUGGAGGAGGGGAAGCGGGGAGAGGAGAUAAGGCAGAGGUAGAUACAUGAGGGUUUGAAUAAAUGAGCUGGACAGCGGUGGCAGGGAAAUGGUUUUCACUUUGUUAUAUGUUUUCUGAUACCAAAAAAAGGAAGCGAUGACAAAAGCU
This is a long non-coding RNA of Gallus gallus (chicken), 706 nucleotides long. RefSeq lists it as uncharacterized. The record is from RefSeq and is a predicted model, not a curated record. The transcript has 4 exons. Lineage: Eukaryota; Metazoa; Chordata; Aves; Galliformes; Phasianidae.